Molecule: ribosomal RNA, 253 nt
Filed under: uncultured bacterium
Lineage: Bacteria
Description: partial 16S ribosomal RNA
Rfam family: Bacterial small subunit ribosomal RNA
Source: RNAcentral
UACGGAGGGAGCGAGCGAUAUCCGGAAUCACUGGGUUUAAAGGGUGCGUAGGCGGCUCGGUAAGUCAGUUGUGAAAGCCCCUUGCUUAACGAGGGAGGUGCGAUUGAUACUGUCGAGCUUGAAUCGGGAUGAGGCAGGCGGAAUGUGGCAUGAAGCGGUGAAAUGCAAAGAUAUGCCAUAGAACAACGAUUGCGAAGGCAGCCUGCUGGGCCUGUAUUGACGCUGAGGCACGAAAGCGUGGGGAGCAAACAGG